Molecule: ribosomal RNA, 253 nt
Filed under: uncultured bacterium
Lineage: Bacteria
Description: partial 16S ribosomal RNA
Rfam family: Bacterial small subunit ribosomal RNA
Source: RNAcentral
UACGUAGGGUGCGAGCGUUGUCCGGAAUUAUUGGGCGUAAAGGGCUCGUAGGCGGUCUGUUACGUCGGGAGUGAAAACUCGGGGCUCAACCCCGAGCCUGCUUCCGAUACGGGCAGACUAGAGGUAUGCAGGGGAGAAUGGAAUUCCUGGUGUAGCGGUGAAAUGCGCAGAUAUCAGGAGGAACACCGGUGGCGAAGGCGGUUCUCUGGGACGGUACUGACGCUGAGACGCGAAAGCGUGGGGAGCGAACAGG